This 85-nucleotide transfer RNA is filed under the name Gammaproteobacteria bacterium. Its description in RNAcentral is "tRNA-Leu". It matches the Rfam family "tRNA". Rfam says of the family: Transfer RNA (tRNA) molecules are approximately 80 nucleotides in length. Lineage: Bacteria; Pseudomonadati; Pseudomonadota; Gammaproteobacteria. The record is from RNAcentral.
GCGGAUGUGGCGGAAUUGGUAGACGCACUGGAUUUAGGUUCCAGCGCCGCAAGGUGUGAGAGUUCGAGUCUCUCCGUCCGCACCA